Alosa alosa (allis shad) is the source of this 801-nucleotide long non-coding RNA. RefSeq lists it as uncharacterized. Lineage: Eukaryota; Metazoa; Chordata; Actinopteri; Clupeiformes; Clupeidae. The transcript has 3 exons. The record is from RefSeq and is a predicted model, not a curated record.
UUGAUCCCUAGGGGAAAUUCAAGAUUCAGGCCUGCAGGCUGAAACUGCCUGGCGUCAAGCAGAUGAUGUAGCCUACAGUUACCAAUAUGUGGCAGACUAGAAAUGUUAAAGUUUAGUUUAACACAUUGUGUUAUACAGUAACAAUGGAUGUGUGGAUAGGAUAGUCCACAUUGUUAAGGGCAAUGAUGGCUUUGAGACAGUCGCAAGGUAUGUCAUGGGAAGUGGCUUUGUAGGAAAGUAUCUUGCUAGAUAAUGUAAGAACUGUAAUACCUGGCCAGAACUACAAGGCCCAGAAUGCUUAGCAUGGAGAGAGGAAGUGGCAAGGAAGAAGAGGGAAAGUUAGAUUUGGCGUUGUGGCUGGUGAAUAAACACGCUUUUCAGUUCGAACUCGUUUGUACGUGAAUCCUUAUACUACUAUCCUCCCCCUGAACAUAUCAAGGUUUACAAUAAUUUAGCCUACUUGACGCAAGUAUGGAUGUUUAAUCUGCUCACCAAUAUCGCCAUAGGGGAGCAGUAUUGCCAUAGAGCAGUCUUUUAGGCUAUCCUUGUCUCGGCCUAUCAUUGCAGAGCGCGACCUCCAAAACAUGACGUCAGCCCGCCCUUAAAACAGGCACACACACCCCCGUCUUUAACUGAGAAGACGUAGCUUACAGACAGCAACGAAGAAUUAUCAGCAGCAAAGGAAUCAGCUAAAGGUAACCCCUGCCUUGAAGUGCAUUUGUUGUUUGACUUAAAUCGACAGCUGUUGAAGUGGCAUACAAUGGACGGACCUGACAGGCAAAUCAUUUACUGCCUUAAAUG